AAGUGAUACAGCUCUUUUAGAAUUUGUCUAGCAGGUUUUUCCAGUUCCUACUGGAAA
This 57-nucleotide small nuclear RNA is filed under the name Sorex araneus (European shrew). Its description in RNAcentral is "U7 small nuclear RNA (ENSSARG00000020012.1)". It matches the Rfam family "U7 small nuclear RNA". From Rfam's summary of the family: Animal histone pre-mRNAs are spliced by a different mechanism than nuclear pre-mRNAs and self-splicing introns. This processing involves the U7 snRNP, which contains only one RNA species: U7. The 5' end of U7 RNA is thought to base-pair to a conserved spacer element downstream of the cleavage site in histone pre-mRNA. The record is from RNAcentral. Lineage: Eukaryota; Metazoa; Chordata; Mammalia; Eulipotyphla; Soricidae.